AAACCAACUGGGAUUACCUUAGUAACGGCGAGUGAAGCGGUAAAAGCUCAAAUUUGAAAUCUGGUACUUUCAGUGCCCGAGUUGUAAUUUGUAGAAUUUGUCUUUGAUUAGGUCCUUGUCUAUGUUCCUUGGAACAGGACGUCAUAGAGGGUGAGAAUCCCGUUUGGCGAGGAUACCUUUUCUUUGUAAGACUUUUUCGAAGAGUCGAGUUGUUUGGGAAUGCAGCUCAAAGUGGGUGGUAAAUUCCAUCUAAAGCUAAAUAUUGGCGAGAGACCGAUAGCGAACAAGUACAGUGAUGGAAAGAUGAAAAGAACUUUGAAAAGAGAGUGAAAAAGUACGUGAAAUUGUUGAAAGGGAAGGGCAUUUGAUCAGACAUGGUGUUUUUGCAUGCACUCGCCUCUCGUGGGCUUGGGCCUCUCAAAAAUUUCACUGGGCCAACAUCAAUUUUGGCAGCAGGAUAAAUCAUUAAGAAUGUAGCUACUUCGGUAGUGUUAUAGCUUUUUGGAAUACUGUUAGCCGGGAUUAAGGA
RNAcentral lists this ribosomal RNA (529 nucleotides) under uncultured Hanseniaspora. RNAcentral's name for it is "eukaryotic LSU rRNA". It matches the Rfam family "Eukaryotic large subunit ribosomal RNA", at positions 62 to 593 of the family's 3401-position model. Lineage: Eukaryota; Fungi; Ascomycota; Saccharomycetes; Saccharomycodales; Saccharomycodaceae. The record is from RNAcentral.